AAGUUCCAGGCUGAUCUCACUUUCUAUAGGCCACAUCAGUUAACGUCUCCAUUAUUCGAGAUUUAUAGUAGUGUAUGUGAUCGACCAUGUGAAGCGAAGGAGAAUGCACUCAUCCGUGCUUUAACUUAUUUUGAUGAAGUUCUAGGCUGGACGAUUGAAGACCUUAACUAUGUUCCAUAUCUAAGGAAGUGAGCCAGAGUAUAAAAUAUGUAACAUGCAUGGUUG
RNAcentral lists this long non-coding RNA (225 nucleotides) under Setaria italica (foxtail millet). RNAcentral's name for it is "long non-coding RNA (SITA_LNC001051)". Lineage: Eukaryota; Viridiplantae; Streptophyta; Magnoliopsida; Poales; Poaceae. The record is from RNAcentral.